UACGGAGGAUCCAAGCGUUAUCCGGAUUUAUUGGGUUUAAAGGGUGCGUAGGCGGACGCUUAAGUCAGCGGUAAAAUUGCGGGGCUCAACCCCGUACUGCCGUUGAAACUGCAUCCCUUGAGUGCGCGAGAAGUAUGCGGAAUGCGUGGUGUAGCGGUGAAAUGCAUAGAUAUCACGCAGAACUCCGAUUGCGAAGGCAGCAUACCGGCGCCCUACUGACGCUGAGGCACGAAAGCGUGGGUAUCGAACAGG
This 252-nucleotide ribosomal RNA is filed under the name uncultured Bacteroidales bacterium. RNAcentral describes it as "partial 16S ribosomal RNA". It matches the Rfam family "Bacterial small subunit ribosomal RNA", at positions 524 to 776 of the family's 1533-position model. The record is from RNAcentral. Lineage: Bacteria; Pseudomonadati; Bacteroidota; Bacteroidia; Bacteroidales.